RNAcentral lists this ribosomal RNA (1098 nucleotides) under Triticum aestivum (bread wheat). RNAcentral describes it as "partial small subunit ribosomal RNA". The record is from RNAcentral. Lineage: Eukaryota; Viridiplantae; Streptophyta; Magnoliopsida; Poales; Poaceae.
AUGGCGACGGGGUCCAUGGAGACGGCCCUCAUGAGCGAUCCGACGGCCAAGCUCCCCGACGACCUGCUGGUGGAGAUCAUCUCGCGCGUGCCGUACAAGUCCACCCGCUGCUGCAAGUGCGUCUCCACGCGCUGGCGGGACCUCAUCGCCCAUCCCGACCACCGCGAGAAGCUUCCCCGGUCGACCCUCGCCGGCUUCUUCUACAAAAUCUACGACCUAAAACGCCGUCCACCUGAUUCUCAUGGUUACCUAAGCGUCUCAGGAACUGGAGCACCUGGCGGCAUCCAGUACUUUGGUGAGCUUGAAGACCAUUGUUACUGGGACUCCCUCUCGUUCCUGUCCGAAUACGAGAGCCUUCAAAUCUUGGAUUGCUGCAACGGCCUCCUCCUCUGCCGAGCCCGGAAGUCGACUGACCCAGAGACACUGGAUGACCCCAAGACGCUGGAUUACGUGGUGUGCAAUCCCGCCACCGAGAAAUGGGUAACCGUGCCCGCCACCAAGUGGUCCUGGUUGGUGGACAGUGCUUGCUUAGGAUUCGACCCGGCCGUCUCCGCACACUUCUAUGUGUUCGAGUUGGUACCUGACAUUGCUUGGGUUCCGAGUUGCGCGUUUUUGAGCAGAGUGUUGUAUCUAUGUCCUGAUAAUAAUUCAGUUGCAGCCGUCGACGUGGAAGGAAAUUGUAGGAUCAUUCCUAUUCCUACUUCACAUGAUGCCCCUGACCGUCCUAAUGUCUAUGCAUCACAGGGACAGUUGUAUCUCACAAUUCAGGGUGCUUCUGAACUAUCAAUCUGGGUUCUUGAAGAUUCUAGUAGUGAAAAUUGUUGGACCCUGAAGCUCAAUGUCAGCCACUUGCGACUGUUCGGAAUAGAGUAUUCUAGUUCUGAGCAAUAUUAUGGUGUUAUCUCAGCCCACCCAGAACACGAUGUGAUAUUCAUAAUCAAAGGAUUUAGAUUGUGGUACCGACCAGAGAAGAAAUUAUUUUCAUACGAUAUGGAUUCUGGGGAGCUGUGUUUCAUAUGUGAUCUUCCAUGGAAUUCCACGUGCCCUUAUCUUUCCUAUGUUCCUUUGUUCUCGGAGUCAUUGGCAGAUGGGCACUAA